UACGUAGGGUGCAAGCGUUAAUCGGAAUUACUGGGCGUAAAGCGUGCGCAGGCGGUUGUGUAAGUCUGUCGUGAAAUCCCCGGGCUCAACCUGGGAAUUGCGAUGGAGACUGCACGGCUAGAGUGUGUCAGAGGGGGGUAGAAUUCCACGUGUAGCAGUGAAAUGCGUAGAGAUCGGUAGGAACACCCGUGGCGAAGGCGGUCUCCUGGGGCAUUCUUGACGCUGAUGCGCGAAAGCCAGGGGAGCAAACGGG
This 253-nucleotide ribosomal RNA is filed under the name uncultured bacterium. Its description in RNAcentral is "partial 16S ribosomal RNA". It matches the Rfam family "Bacterial small subunit ribosomal RNA", at positions 524 to 776 of the family's 1533-position model. The record is from RNAcentral.